GAUGAACGCUGGCGGCGUGCCUAAUACAUGCAAGUCGAGCGAACAGACGAGGAGCUUGCUCCUCUGACGUUAGCGGCGGACGGGUGAGUAACACGUGGAUAACCCACCUAUAAGACUUGGAUACCUUCGGCAAACCGUAGCUAAUACCGGAUGAUCUUUUUACCUGCUUGGUUCAAGAAUGAAAGAGGGUUUUGCUGUCACUUCUAGAUGGAUCCGCGCCUCAUUAGCGAGUUGGUUAAGUAACGGCUUACCAAGGAGACGAUGCGUAACCGUGCUGAGAGGGGGAGCGGGCACGCGGGAAUGGAGAGACGGUCCAGACUCCAACGGGAGGCAGGAGUAGGGAAGGUGCCGGAGUGGGGGAAAGCUGGACGGAGCAUCGCCGCGUGAGGGAGGAAGGUCUUGGGAUCGUAAAACUCUGUUAGGAGGGAAGAACAAAUGUGUAAGUAAGUAUGCACGUCUUGACGGUACCGAAUCAGAAGGCCACGGCUAACUACGU
RNAcentral lists this ribosomal RNA (496 nucleotides) under uncultured bacterium. RNAcentral's name for it is "partial 16S ribosomal RNA". It matches the Rfam family "Bacterial small subunit ribosomal RNA", at positions 28 to 506 of the family's 1533-position model. The record is from RNAcentral.